This 760-nucleotide long non-coding RNA is filed under the name Bos taurus (domestic cattle). RNAcentral describes it as "long non-coding RNA NONBTAT026177". Lineage: Eukaryota; Metazoa; Chordata; Mammalia; Artiodactyla; Bovidae. The record is from RNAcentral.
AGGCCAAAUAUGUUUUAAUGAAUCCAAAUAUCUUCCAAUUCAACAGUAUUGGAAUCUUCCAGAAUAUUUUAGGAGAUUUCUAAUCAGAGCAUAUUAAAAAUAUGAUACUGUACAUCAAACCACAGAAUAUUUAUUGAAUAAUAAAUUUGUGGCAUACAAUCUAGCUGCAUUGUUUUUCUUUGCAUUCAUUUUCCAGUUGGCAACUUCCACUACAUUAGCAGAGUAACCACUAAGUUGUCUUCUAUUUUCUAAAAGGUUUUUCCCGUCACUAUCUGUAUCGCUCAGAGUCUUUCAGAUACAAAAGCUGAGUUUAGGGAGUAGAUAAAAUUCACCUGUCAGACCAAACUGAGAUUGGUCCUUGGCUCUUUGUUCCCCCAUUUGAGCCUGAGUCUCCAACCUGAACAUACCUCUUUCAUGGGCACAACCGGGGAACAGAAAAAUGGCAACAGUUCUACAGCUCAUAAUAUAACCAGUCUGAAGGGUUUGCCUACUCACAGUUGUCUUUAUUUAAUGCAAGUUAAGCCUCAUUGUUCAACAAUACAUUCUGAAAUUCUGCAACUGGACAUGCUGCCUGCCACAAGACAAAAUUAUGAGUGAUUACUUAUAGGUAUAUCAGAAUACGUAUUUAGGUAGACAAGCACUGGAAAGGAACACAGAAUACUAAAGACAAUUGAUGGGGUACAACUGUGGGUAAUUUUUCUUUCUUCUUCUUCAACUGUUACAUUUGUGAAAUAAAUUGAAAAGGAGGGAAAAUCUUAUC